This 72-nucleotide transfer RNA is filed under the name Nostoc sp. RNAcentral describes it as "tRNA-Gly". It matches the Rfam family "tRNA". Rfam says of the family: Transfer RNA (tRNA) molecules are approximately 80 nucleotides in length. RNAcentral also lists the same sequence under 1 other name. The record is from RNAcentral. Lineage: Bacteria; Bacillati; Cyanobacteriota; Cyanophyceae; Nostocales; Nostocaceae.
GCGGGUGUGAUGUAAUCGGUAGCAUGAGACGCUUCCACCGUCUUCGUGCGAGUUCAAAUCUCGCCGUCCGCU